RNAcentral lists this ribosomal RNA (1044 nucleotides) under Ahnfeltiopsis complicata. RNAcentral describes it as "bacterial SSU rRNA". The stretch from base 1 to 331 matches the Rfam family "Eukaryotic small subunit ribosomal RNA", at positions 1495 to 1831 of the family's 1831-position model. Lineage: Eukaryota; Rhodophyta; Florideophyceae; Gigartinales; Phyllophoraceae. The record is from RNAcentral.
GUGCUACACUGACGGGUCAACGGGUGAGGAUAUGCGAGAGCAUUUCCCAAUCUCUAAAUCCGCUCGUGCUGGGGAUCGAGGCUUGCAAUUUUCCCUCUUGAACGAGGAAUACCUUGUAAGCGCGGGUCAUCAUCCCGUGCUGAAUACGUCCCUGCCCUUUGUACACACCGCCCGUCGCUCCUACCGAUUGAGUGGUCCGGUGAGGCCUUGGGAGGGAUGGAUGGACUGUGUUCCACGGACUAUCUGGCCCGAACUUGGUCAAACCUUAUCACUUAGAGGAAGGAGAAGUCGUAACAAGGUUUCCGUAGGUGAACCUUCGGAAGGAUCAUUCGUAGUGGAUAAGUGAACAUCCGACAUGUUCUGUCGGUUGUUUGCUUUUCUAUCAUGUUUCGUGAACAAUUUUAUUCCAUCUUUUUUGUUUUUAACCAUUUUAACCCAUAUAAACCAAAAGUAAAAAAUCACAAAUUUUUAACCAGACAAAAAACUCGUGACGGUGGAUGUCUAGGCUCCAGCAACGAUGAAGAACGCAGCAAAAUGCGAUACGUAGUGCGAAUUGCAGAACCCGUGAAUCAUCGAAUCUUUGAACGCAAGUUGCGCUCGCGGGUAAUCCUGCGAGCAUGUCUGUUUGAGUGUCCGCACAAAUGCGACUUUUGAUCCUUUUUAAAGGGUCUGCUGGUGGGCGUGCAGAAAUGCAGUCAAGUCCGGAUUCCUUCACUGGGAUGCGGUCGCCCGAAGAAGAGAGCGCUAAUUGUCGUAGUUUUGUCUUCUCAUAAAAAUCCUUUGGAUUCUGGGGGGCUUUUGGGUGUAGUUCUCUUCUGGAGGUACUACUGCCUGAUACGCGUCUGAGCGAGCGCUGCGAAGUAAUUUUAUUGAGCAGUCUUCCCACAGUACGUGAAUUAGGAACGCGUUUUAUGCGACCAAAGGUCUUUUGGCCGGGGAAAUAGAGAAUGUACAUUUUACGUGCAAAUAGCCUUGAAAACCACAAAACUUCAUUUUGGAUCUCAAAUCAGACAAGACGACCCGCUGAAUUAAGCAUAUCAUAAG